This 395-nucleotide ribosomal RNA is filed under the name uncultured Glomeromycotina. RNAcentral describes it as "bacterial SSU rRNA". It matches the Rfam family "Eukaryotic small subunit ribosomal RNA", at positions 569 to 971 of the family's 1831-position model. The record is from RNAcentral. Lineage: Eukaryota; Fungi; Glomeromycota.
AGCAGCCGCGGUAAUUCCAGCUCCAAUAGCAUAUAUUAAAGUUGUUGUAGUUAAAAAGCUCAUAGUUGAAUUUCGAGGUUCUACCGUCGGUCGGGCUACCAAGUCUGUACUGGUGCAUAAAAUUUCUACCUUUUGGGGAACCGUCAUGUUAUUAAUUUAGCAUAGUGGGAAACUAGAACCUUUACCUUGAAAAAUUAGAGUGUUCAAAGCAGGCUUAUGUCUAAAUACAUUAGCAUGGAAUAAUAGAAUAGGACAGUGGUCCUGUUUUGUGGUUUCUGAAUUACCAUAAUGAUUAAUAGGGAUAGUUGGGGGCAUUAGUAUUCUAUUGUCAGAGGUGAAAUUCUUGGAUUUAUUGAAGACUAACUUCUGUAAAAGCAUUUGCCAAGGAUGUUUUC